AGAGUUUGAUCCUGGCUCAGGAUGAACGCUAGCGACAGGCUUAACACAUGCAAGUCGAGGGGCAGCGGUGGUGAAGGCUUGCCUUUACCAGCCGGCGACCGGCGCACGGGUGAGUAACACGUAUGCAACCUGCCUGCCACAGCCGGAUAAUCGGGAGAAAUUCCGUCUAAUACGGCAUAAUGCAUCGACGGGACAUCCUGUUGGUGCCAAAGGUUGAUUCCGGUGGCGGAUGGGCAUGCGUCGCAUUAGUUAGUUGGCGGUGUAACGGACCACCAAGACGACGAUGCGUAGGGGUUCUGAGAGGAAGGUCCCCCACACUGGUACUGAGACACGGACCAGACUCCUACGGGAGGCAGCAGUGAGGAAUAUUGGUCAAUGGGCGGGAGCCUGAACCAGCCAAGUCGCGUGAGGGAUGACGGCCCUAUGGGUUGUAAACCUCUUUUGCCGGGGAGCAAAGUGCCGCACGUGUGCGGUUUGGAGAGUACCCGGAGAAAAAGCAUCGGCUAACUCCGUGCCAGCAGCCGCGGUAAUACGGAGGAUGCGAGCGUUAUCCGGAUUUAUUGGGUUUAAAGGGUGCGUAGGCGGACGCUUAAGUCAGCGGUAAAAUUGCGGGGCUCAACCUCGUCGAGCCGUUGAAACUGGGUGCCUUGAGUGGGCGAGAAGUACGCGGAAUGCGUGGUGUAGCGGUGAAAUGCAUAGAUAUCACGCAGAACUCCGAUUGCGAAGGCAGCGUACCGGCGCCCAACUGACGCUGAAGCACGAAGGCGUGGGUAUCGAACAGGAUUAGAUACCCUGGUAGUCCACGCAGUAAACGAUGAAUGCUAGUUGUCCGGGGCGAUUGAGUUCUGGGUGACACAGCGAAAGCGUUAAGCAUUCCACCUGGGGAGUACGCCGGCAACGGUGAAACUCAAAGGAAUUGACGGGGGCCCGCACAAGCGGAGGAACAUGUGGUUUAAUUCGAUGAUACGCGAGGAACCUUACCCGGGCUCAAACGCAGGAGGGAUGUUUUUGAAAGGAGGCAGCCAGCAAUGGUCUCCUGCGAGGUGCUGCAUGGUUGUCGUCAGCUCGUGCCGUGAGGUGUCGGCUUAAGUGCCAUAACGAGCGCAACCCCUACCUACAGUUGCCAUCGCGUGAUGGCGGGCACUCUGUGGGGACUGCCUGCGCAAGCAGUGAGGAAGGCGGGGAUGACGUCAAAUCAGCACGGCCCUUACGUCCGGGGCGACACACGUGUUACAAUGGCAGGUACAGCGGGAAGCCACCCGGCGACGGGGCGCGGAACCCGAAAGCCGGUCUCAGUUCGGAUCGGAGUCUGCAACCCGACUCCGUGAAGCUGGAUUCGCUAGUAAUCGCGCAUCAGCCAUGGCGCGGUGAAUACGUUAGCGGGCCUUGCACUCACCGCCCGUCA
RNAcentral lists this ribosomal RNA (1405 nucleotides) under uncultured bacterium. Its description in RNAcentral is "16S ribosomal RNA". It matches the Rfam family "Bacterial small subunit ribosomal RNA". The record is from RNAcentral.